This 403-nucleotide ribosomal RNA is filed under the name uncultured Glomeromycotina. Its description in RNAcentral is "SSU rRNA". It matches the Rfam family "Eukaryotic small subunit ribosomal RNA", at positions 569 to 976 of the family's 1831-position model. Lineage: Eukaryota; Fungi; Glomeromycota. The record is from RNAcentral.
AGCAGCCGCGGUAAUUCCAGCUCCAAUAGCGUAUAUUAAAGUUGUUGCAGUUAAAAAGCUCGUAGUUGAAUUUCGGGAUCAAUACGUCGGUCGUGCUUCGGUACGUACUGGUGUCAUUGAUUUCUCCCUUCUGACGAACCAUGAUGUCAUUAACUUGGUGUCAUGGGAAAUCAGGACUGUUACUUUGAAAAAAUUAGAGUGUUUAAAGCAGGCUCACGCUUGAAUACAUUAGCAUGGAAUAAUGAAAUAGGACGUUCGAUCCUAUUUUGUUGGUUUCUAGGAUUGACGUAAUGAUUAAUAGGGAUAGUUGGGGGCAUUAGUAUUCAAUUGUCAGAGGUGAAAUUCUUGGAUUUAUUGAAGACUAACUACUGCGAAAGCAUUUGCCAAGGAUGUUUUACAUUAA